RNAcentral lists this ribosomal RNA (468 nucleotides) under uncultured bacterium. Its description in RNAcentral is "partial 16S ribosomal RNA". It matches the Rfam family "Bacterial small subunit ribosomal RNA", at positions 28 to 507 of the family's 1533-position model. The record is from RNAcentral.
GACGAACGCUGGCGGCGUGCUUAACACAUGCAAGUCGAACGGAAAGGCCCUGCUUUUGUGGGGUGCUCGAGUGGCGAACGGGUGAGUAACACGUGAGUAACCUGACCUUGACUUUGGGAUAACUUCAGGAAACUGGGGCUAAUACCGGACAGGAGCUCCUGCUGCAUGGUGGGGGUUGGAAAGUUUCGGCGGUUGGGGAUGGACUCGCGGCUUAUCAGCUUGUUGGUGGGGUAGUGGCUUACCAAGGCUUUGACGGGUAGCCGGCCUGAGAGGGUGACCGGCCACAUUGGGACUGAGAUACGGCCCAGACGCCUACGGGAGGCAGCAGUGGGGAAUAUUGCACAGUGGGCGGAAGCCUGAUGCAGCGACGCCGCGUGCGGGAUGACGGCCUUCGGGUUGUAAACCGCUUUCGCCUGUGACGAAGCGGGAGUGACGGUAAUGGGUUAAGAAGCACCGGCUAACUACGUG